Long non-coding RNA from Carassius carassius (crucian carp), 485 nucleotides. RefSeq lists it as uncharacterized. The transcript is spliced from 3 exons. The record is from RefSeq and is a predicted model, not a curated record. NCBI's taxonomy places the organism in Eukaryota, Metazoa, Chordata, Actinopteri, Cypriniformes, Cyprinidae.
UUUUCCAGUAGAGAUCGUUGUGAGAUUUCAGGCCGGGAGGAUGGCCGCUUGAGUGUAUUUCUCAUUGACCACUGUUUUAUCGUGUUUGUUUGGAUACUUGAGUAUAACUCAUGCUAUUCAAAGACGAACCACAGUGGAUGGUUACUGUCCGGCAAAGCUGACGGUUGUGCCAUCCCAUCGAGGAUGUACUUCUGAUGAAGACUGCCCUGGAGGACACAAAUGCUGUAGAUUUGACUGUGGUCCUGUUUGUGUGCUGCCUGUUUUCAAGAAGCCAGGGCAAUGUCCCAUACCGGAGAUGAUUCCACUGUGUGCUGAAAGCUGUUUCAUGAUGGCCAGUGUCCUGCCACACAGAAAUGUUGCCCAACCACUGGUGGCUUUACAUGCAGUGAACCACGUGGUCAGGGAAGCGGUCGGGCAAGUUGUCAAGGAAGGGGCCAGGCAAGCGGCAUUGGCCAGGGCAGCGUCAAGGGAGGCGGCAUUGGCCA